GGGCAGGGUUAGCUAGGGUUCGGGAGGCGGCUGCCGGAUGGGCCUUAGAGGCCGGCGGGUGGGCUCUCCUCUCUCUCUCUUUCUCUCAAAAGAAAAGAAACAAAAUAGAGAUAAGAAAUAAAAGAAAGAGAGGGUUACGGAAAGAAUUUGGGCAUGGGGUUAAUUUACUUGGACUCACAAAAAUGUGCACGGUCCAUGAAAAAUAGGAGUGGCAAGAUUGCAGGAAUUAAAUUCAAAGUCAUUUGAAUUUAAUUCAAAAGGUUUGAGCAAGGACUAGGAAUUAGAGGUUUCCAAAAAUGUUGGGAUUUUUGGUGGAGCUCCGGAAGAUGAUGAAAGAAUAAAUGGCAAAGUUGGAGAUCAAGAAUUAAGACAACAAAGGCAUUAGGAUAUUUUGUAAGUGUGUUUGCGGUAAAUCCAAAUAAUUGGAAUAUUUACUAUAGCUCUCUAAAUAUCGAGAGGAUAUGUUUUAAAGAGAAUCACCAUGUGAAUUCCCUCGAUUUAAAUGGAUCAAAGAUCCAUGCCAUUUAUUUAGUUGAGUUGCAAAAGAUUUAUGAGAUGAUGGCAUGAUGACAUGAUGCAAUGCAAAAAUAAAUAGAGCAAGCACAAAUAAAAAACACACAGAGGUCACAAAAAUAUGGAAGUCUUCUGGACCGUCGGUCUCGGGGCGUUACAACACUCCACCACUACAAGAGGAUCUCGUCCCGAGAUCUAGGAUGGCACCGGAGAGAAACGGAAGAGGAAGAGAGGUGGUAAAACUAAGUUGCUUCUUUGACGAACCAGUGAAACCACGAACCUUGAGAGGUUGAGCAAUUUAAAAGAAAGAGUACAACAGAGAUGAACGAGAUUGCAAACAAUCCGUUAGAAAAAAGGAACAAGGAACAUUAUGGGAACUUGAAGGUUGCAAAGACAUGAAUCAAGAGUUUAAUGGACAAGAUAGAAUUCGAAACCAGUCCGGUUAAAACAAGAUGAGAGGGGAAGAAUUCGGGCAGCACUUCGGUUGAACAUGGAAGGAAUUGAACAUGAACUUGACAAGAUGAGAGGAUACUUGAUGAAAUGAACAACACACUGCCUCCGGAACUAUUGAAAGAAUGGCACAAGGGGUAAGAAAGAUUUCAGACAGCUCUCCAGUUGAGGAAGGAGGGAAAACUUGAUAAAAUUAAAGAACUCGAAUGAAAACACGACACUUCGGUUAAAUGGAUAAGUAAGGAAAAGAACAUGAACUCCAAAAUGAUAUAAUGGGUCAAAGAAAACAUCACAAUGCCUUCGGGACAAAUGAAAGAGUGGAAUCGAGAGAACAGAGAAGAGAAUAACAACUUCUAUCACAAUUGAAUUUGAAAGAGCCUCCUUAAAAAGAAGGAUUGAACGGAGUUGUUAGAAAACCAACAACGAAAAGAAUAAGCUUGUAGUGGACUUAUUGAAACAUCUCAACAUUAUGAGAUGACAAAUGGCCACUAAAGGAAGACAUUGAUUUGAGUGAGAGCACCAAGGCGAUGAAAAACUUCUUUCACCAAGAGGAUAGGAGAAAACUUGGAUCAUUGAUAAGCACCAUAAUAGCAACAUUCCUUAGGGAAGGCUUUAGGUGAAAACAUGACACAAGAUAAAUCCAACGAAGAGAUUGAUGGAUUUAAAAUACCUCAUUCUUGACAACAUGUGAAUCAUGAAACAUGAAUGAAAUUGUCAAAAUGACAUAACACGACCUGAAAAGAUAAGGUCGAAAGAAUUGCACUUCGGAAUGCAAGAUGAAGAAUGCUUGAACUCCUCAAAACAAAACAUGUGUUGAGCACCAUGUUUAUUUUGAAGUAUGGCUUGAUGGAUCUUAACUUCGAGAGAAAUCUUGAUGAACAAUUGAAGAAUGAAAAGAAUCCUUGACGAAGCACCAUGUAGAGCCUCCAUGAAGAACUCCGGUAAACAAAAGGGUGAUAGAAAGAAAGAGAAGUUGAAAACACAAGGUGAAGCCUUGCAAUGAUUUAGAUGGAUCUUCGUGAUGAUGAGAGCUUGGAACUCCGGGAAAAGAAAAGAUGAAACAACUGAAACCGAGAAUUUAUUCAUCAUGAACAAACUCCGAAAGAAGGAAUUAAUCACUUGGAUGAAACAAGAACAAGAAUUAUGUUAUGCGUAUCCUUCACCAAUUUAAAUUGAUGACAAGCAACGGAUUUGGCAUACUACUUAUUCUCGUAGAAAGGAUUAAGAGAGAUAUGGCGUAAACUUGAGAAGGUCUUCAAUGAACCACCGGUAGGAUUUGGAAAGAACGAAUGAAUUGAUAUGAUAACAAAGAAAGAGAACUCUUGAACGAACCACCGUAAGAAUUGAAAUUGAACGUAGCAAAUGCACAAAUCACCGGGAAGAAUUGCAAAAUGAAUGAAGAUACUUGAGGGUAUUUAGAUACAUGAGAACAAAGAGAUCAUGAACUGAUUAGAGGGUACUUGAAUGAUGCACCGGUAUGAUUUGGAGAACGAGAGCUGAAAGCUUGAAUGAAUAAUACUGAGAUGAUGGGCUUCAAAGAAUGAAACUGAAAAGACUCCUAAAAUGCUCCGGAUGGGUGAAAAAGAUUCUCACAAUCGAAAACAAUUAUGAGAGGAUGGCAACAGGCUAGCACCAUGAAUCUUGAAGAGAAUAGAGCAAGAUUAAAGAGAAACUCUUCUUCGAUCUUCAAAUGAUGAGAAUGACAACGAGAAACACCACCAAGAAUUAUUGAGGCACACCGGAAGAAUCAAAAGCGAAGAGGUUGAGCCAACUAUGAAAAGAAUUUGAAAGAUCUUGGAGAAAAGCAUUUGACUGAUGAUAAGUCAUUCUUACGUCAAACUUGGAGAAGAAUUUAGGAUAGCUCUAGGAAAAUAGAAGAGUCAGGUAAGAUCCUGGGAAAAGACCUGUGGGUUAGGGCCCACUCAAAAGAACACCGUUGAAAAGAUUUAAAAGAGAUGUUGCACCGGUUGAAUUAAAUGACUUGAAUGAGAUACCAAUCUCGAAAGAGCUUGAACGAAUGCAGAGUGGAAACACGAAUCUUCGAGAUAUCUUGAGCACUCCGGAAUAACAAAUAGCGAGAAGUAGAAUGAUAAUGAGGUGCACCGGUAUGAGAAGACAUUGAAAUGAGGAAAAAGGUAUGAUCAACAAAACUUGACUUGAAUCCACCGGAGAAGAGAAAGGAAUGAGGAAUGACGAACUAGUAGAACAUCUUCUUGAGAACCACCAGGUAAGAACAUUGACGAAAAAGAAUGGAGAAACUUCACAAAAAUAAAAGUAUACUUGGUAAAGAAAUCUUAGUCCUUGAGGAAAAAGGGUGGGUGGGCGGGAAAAAACAAAGGCAACUUAGAGACGGAUGAAACAAACACCGUUGAGAAGAAAUGAUAAUUGGUCUUGCUGAUGUUGAAGUGAUCGGAUCCACUUGAAGAGAAACACGCCGGUUGAAAAGGAUUGACAUGACAAUCUCGAUUGUCGAGAAGGAUUGGUAUUCACAUCGGAGUAUGAGAACACCAUUUCGGAAAGGUAUGGAAUCAACACUUGACAUUGAAGCAACUCGAAUACCACAACUCAAAACAAAAAACAAAGGGCUGGCUUGCAGAAUAAGCCGGAACAAACAUAUGAUAGAGAUUUCGUCCGAAGUUUUCGUGGUGGGGCCUACACGGGCUCGAUCGUACAACACCAUCAUGUACAAGGCAGUGCACAUGACAUACGAAGCGUCCCCGAGUCGGCAUAGCCAAGGACUCUUUAAGACACAACGAGACCACUGUAAAACCAACCGUGAAUAGGCGGACCACUAGACGUUGAACCCCAAUUUCAUAUCAUACAUCCGUCGGAAAGAUAUCCUAAGAGCUACUUGAAUUCCCACCUAUGAAACUCCCGAAAUUCUCCGGUUAUGCAAUCAGGUGUUGGGGAUACAGGGGAAGCAUAAUAUCUUACCCAAAACUAGCAAAUCCUACAUCCAGCUGUAUCCAUCCUUCAACACAUAACCAAGAAACCUUCGGAAAUCGUCUACCUCAACCUUCGAAAAGCAUCCGUUAUACAAGUUAUGGCGAUACUCCCGAACUCCCGCCCCAGUACUGGGUGGCGACGAGGUUAUCUCACCAACGAACUGCAUAAAAGAGAUUUUCGAUGUCGGCGUACUAAACUCAGGUAUUCCAGAACUGCAACGAUAAAAUUAUGGCGACAACACCUCAGAGCUCAACUCCCCGGGACACUUCCACUAAACCCCUGACAGGAGGCACCAAGACAAUAUUCUCAUCAUAAAACCAUCGGAACGAUUCCAAGAUACCCGCGUGAUCCUAAAUUUUUUUUAGUGAAAUUUCAGAAGAGAAGAGUCAAAACUCUACGUCAGGAUGCCUUACCAGAGCGAUGAAGAGACUGGGGAGUAAAAAGAAUUCCUAACUCUCCAAUAUAUAUAAUCCUAAAUGACUCAAAACAUUUUUCUAGACACAACUCGGCGGCUAAAAACGAUCAAGCAGUGGGGCUCCUAAGGUCGGGGAAGGCUCUGAUUACCAACUUGUAACGCCCUCGAUGCGGCUAUAUCUCCCACGUGUCGGAGCACGACUUAGAGGCAUAACCGCAUUGAAAGCAAUGUCACAAGUGAGGUAAUCUUCACACAACCCAUGUAAUACAUAAGGGAAAGAGAUACAUAGUUGGCUUACAAUCGCCACUUCACACAAUACAUGAGUAAAGCAUUACAUCAUACAGAUACAAUCAAGGUCUGACUACGGAACCAAAAUAAAAGAAGACUACCCCAAAUGCUACACAGAUCCCCGAUCGUCCCAACUGGGCUCCACUACUGAUCAACUGAAACGAAACAACACAAUGAACAAGAUCUUCAUCGAGCUCCUCCUUGAGCUUGGACGCGUCACCUGCACGGUUUCAUCGGCACCUGCAAACUGGUUUUGGAAGUAUCUGUGAGUCACGAGGACUCAGCAAUCUCACACCCGCGAGAUCAAGACUAUUUAAGCUUAUAGGAAGGAUGGAGUAAUGAGGUGGAGCUGCAGCAAGCGACUAGCAUAUAUGGUGGCUACAAUCGCAAAAGAGAGCGAGAAGAGAAGCAAGGCACGGUCAUGAAGCUAGUAGCGAUCAAGAAGUGAUCCUGAAACUACUUACGUCAAACAUAACUCCAACACCGUGUUCACUUCCCGGACUCCGCCGAGAAGAGACCAUCACGGUUACACACGCGGUUGAUGUAUUUUAAUUAAGGUCAACUUUAGGUUUUCUACAACCGGACGUUAACAAAUUCCCAUCUGCCUCAUAACCGCGGGCACGGCUUUCGAAAGAUAAUACCCUGCAGGGGUGUCCCAACUUAGCCCAUUAUAAGCUCUAGCGAUCAACGAAGGAUAUUCCUUCUACCGGGAAGACCCGAUCAGUCUCGGAAUCCCGGACUACAAGACAUUUCGACAGUAAUAAAACAAGACCAGCAAAGCCGCCCGGAUGUGCCGACAAAUCCCGAUAGGAGUCGCACGUACCUCGUUCUCAGGGCACACCGGAUAGGUCAGCCUACGAGUAAAACCAGCCCUCGAGUUGCCCCGUGGUGGCCCCGUAGUCUGCCCGUUUCGGACCAACACUCGAAGGAGCACUGGCCCGGGGGGGGGGCUAAAAUAAAGAUGACCCUUGAGUCUGCAGAACCCAAGGGAAGGGGUAUAUGUGGUAGGUAGUCAAAUGGUAAAACCAAGGUUGGGCCUUGCUGGAGGAGUCUUAUUCAAAGCGAACUGUCAAGGGGGUCCCAUAAAUCACCCAACCGCGUUAGGAACGCAAAAUCCGGGAACAUAAUACCGAUAUGACGGAAACUAGGGUGGCAAGAGUGGAACAAAACACCAGGCAUAAGGCCGAGCCUUCCACCCUUGACCAAGUAUAUAGGUGCAUUAAUUAAAUAAGAGAUAUUGUGAUAUCCCAACAAGUAAACAUGUUCCAACAAGGAACAACAUCUCCAUGUUCCAACAAGGAACAAACUUCACCUUCACCUGCAACUAACAACGCUAUAAGAGGGGCUGAGCAAAGCGGUAACAUAGCCAAACAAUGGUUUGCUAGGAAAGGAUGGUUAGAGACUUGACAUGGCAACAUGGGAGGCAUGAUAUAGCAAGUGGUAGGCAUCAUAGCAUAGGCAUAGCAAAAGAGCGAGCAUCUAGCAAGCAAAGAUAGAAGUGAUUUCGAGGGUAUGGUCAUCUUGCCUGAGAUCCCGCUAGGAAGAAGAACGAGUCCACGAACAAGACAAACGGACGAAGUCGAACGGAUCCUCACAACUCCGGAACGAAACCAAAGCUAACGAGAGAAGCAACCCGGAAAGAAACAAACAACAUAGUAAACAACCAUCACAUAAACAUGGCAUGAAGCACAAUCAAGUAUGAUGCAUGUCCGGUUUAAUGAGGCAUGGCAUGGCAAUAUGCACAAACAACACUACAAGUUAAGUGGAGCUCAAUAUGCAACGAGUUGCAUAUUGACGGAACACCACAUUAAUUGUUUAGUUUCUCUCUCGGCUAUGAACAAGACAAGAUUAAAUGUUGGUUAACAUGGCAAGAGGUGAAGCAUAAUGAAAACUACCUAUGUAGGCAAGUUUAAAUGAGGCCGGAACAACUCACAACAAUUCCAGAAAAUCCCCACAUGUUAUUUAGCAAUUUAAUGCAACAACAAGUUUAAACAUUCUAAAUGUUGUUAUCAUGAUGCGGAUGACAUAUACAAGUUAUAUGCAAUUUUUAUGAAAAUGUUGACAUAAGCAUGUUAUGAAGCAUUUAUCACCGUGGUGGAAGAAAGGGGUGCCACGGCAACGAAUCCGAAAAUGAUGCCACGGCAACAUAUCGGUUCCGGUAGCUCAUGGAGAUACCGGUGCAAAAGGAAGCGUGCGGAUGUGCGGAACAUGCUAGAGAUGGUGGGGUGAUCCCGGUUACCGGGUUCCCACGGGUCAUCGGCAUGGCGAACGAGGAGGAACGUGCAUGAAGCAAACGGGCACGGUGCAAACAUAGGGUGCAUCUCAUACAACACAUGCAUUCGGUCCACGGACGGCGUCUCGGGGUUAUACCUUCGAGGCAUGCAUUUUCAAAGCGGACCGGUUCAGAGAGGAAGUAGUCGUUCACAGGUCGUCGAGGGAAGUAAAGGAAGUAGUUGUUCCGCGACGGUAGUAGUGGAAGUAGUCGUUCUCGCACGCUCUAGGGUCGAGGGUAGAGGUUCUCGCGAUCUCGGCGACGGUAGUGGUACAUGUGACGGCGGGGUACUUGUUGUUCCGGUUUUUGCGUCCGUAGAUGUACGCGGCAAUCGUAGUGGUACUUGGCGGUUCCUUGUAGUAGAACUUGACGAUCCGAGGGGGUACUUGGCGCAUCACCGUGUAGUUGUACAUGGUUCAAACAAAGGCAUUGACACAUCUGGAGGGGCAUCGAGGGACUCGUCAAGGCCCUGCCUCGGGAGGUCACCGGAGAUGCAUGGAGGCAGCUCGAGCUGCUGGCUGUUGGUAGCAUGUGCGGGCGGCGUGUGGAGGCGGAGUAGGGAACUUGGCACGACCGAGACAGGGGGCGAGCCGCGCGGUUGGUUGAUGGUAGCCGCGGCCAUGGUGGUGGUCGCCACAAAGCAGAGGAGGCCGGGACUUGGCGUUGGACGAUGCGGUCGGCAUCGGCCUUGACGUGCAGCAGGGGAGGCGGAGCUCGUGCUCGAAGAGGAGACAAGGUGGCGCGACGCGAGGGGACGCGAGCUCCAUGGCAGAGGGAGCGAUGACGUGCCUGCUCCCCUGCUCGAGAUCGAGCGAGGACGAGGGAAGCAGAGGAGGUCGAGGUCGAGGUCGAGGAGGCUGGACGUCGGCGGGGCUCGAGACGGGGGUGACGACGUGGAUCCGGCGGGGCGGAGCUUGGGGAGGCGACGCCAUGGAGGACGGCGACGAAGCGGAGGCGAAGGAGCUGCUCGGCAGCGCUCGCUUCUGGCGGGGUCGAGGGAGGAGCGGGCGGCGGCCUGGCGACGCGGUCCCCGUUGGAGCUCGAGGGAGAGGGCGAGAGGAGGGGGAUCGAGCGAGAGAUGCGGGGGAACGAGGGAGAGAUGGCUCCUGGCGGCGGGGGAUGGACGAGGGGAAGAGAUGGGGAUCGGGCAGGGUUAGCUAGGGUUCGGGAGGCGGCUGCCGGAUGGGCCAUAGAGGCCGGCGGCUGGGCUCUCCUCUCUCUCUCUCUCUCUCUUUCUCUCAAAAGAAAAGAAACAAAAUAGAGAUAAGAAAUAAAAGAAAGAGAGGGUUACGAAAAGAAUUUGGGCAUGGGGUUAAUUUACUUGGACUCACAAAAAUGUGCACGGUCCAUGAAAAAUAGGAGUGGCAAGAUUGCAGGAAUUAAAUUCAAAGUCAUUUGAAUUUAAUUCAAAAGGUUUGAGCAAGGACUAGGAAUUAGAGGUUUCCAAAAAUGUUGGGAUUUUUGGUGGAGCUCCGGAAGAUGAUGAAAGAAUAAAUGGCAAAGUUGGAGAUCAAGAAUUAAGACAACAAAGGCAUUAGGAUAUUUUGUAAGUGUGUUUGCGGUAAAUCCAAAUAAUUGGAAUAUUUACUUUAGCUCUCUAAAUAUCGAGAGGAUAUGUUUUAAAGAGAAUCACCAUGUGAAUUCCCUCGAUUUAAAUGGAUCAAAGAUCCAUGCCAUUUAUUUAGUUGAGUUGCAAAAGAUUUAUGAGAUGAUGGCAUGAUGACAUGAUGCAAUGCAAAAAUAAAUAGAGCAAGCACAAAUAAAAA
This 8650-nucleotide long non-coding RNA is filed under the name Triticum aestivum (bread wheat). RNAcentral's name for it is "long non-coding RNA (TAES_LNC027799)". Lineage: Eukaryota; Viridiplantae; Streptophyta; Magnoliopsida; Poales; Poaceae. The record is from RNAcentral.